Molecule: ribosomal RNA, 429 nt
Filed under: bacterium
Lineage: Bacteria
Description: partial 16S ribosomal RNA
Rfam family: Bacterial small subunit ribosomal RNA
Source: RNAcentral
UAGGGAAUCUUCCACAAUGGACGCAAGUCUGAUGGAGCAACGCCGCGUGAGUGAAGAAGGUUUUCGGAUCGUAAAGCUCUGUUGUUGGUGAAGAAGGAUAGAGGUAGUAACUGGCCUUUCUUUGACGGUAAUCAACCAGAAAGUCACGGCUAACUACGUGCCAGCAGCCGCGGUAAUACGUAGGUGGCAAGCAUUGUCCGGAUUUAUUGGGCGUAAAGCGAGCGCAGGCGGAAGAAUAAGUCUGAUGUGAAAGCCCUCGGCUUAACCGAGGAACUGCAUCGGAAACUGAUUAUCUCGAGUGCACAAGAGGAGAGUGAAAUUCCAUGUGUAGCGGGGGAAUGCGUAGAUAUAUGGAAAGACACCAGUGGCGAAGGCGACUAUCUGGUCUGCAACUGACGCUGAGGAUCGAAAGCAUGGGUAGCGAACAGG